ACCCUACGGGGCGCAGCAGUGGGGAAUAUUGGGCAAUGGGCGCAAGCCUGACCCAGCAACGCCGCGUGAAGGAAGAAGGCCCUCGGGUUGUAAACUUCUUUUCUUCGGGACGAAACAAAUGACGGUACCGAAUGAAUAAGCCACGGCUAACUACGUGCCAGCAGCCGCGGUAAUACGUAGGUGGCAAGCGUUAUCCGGAUUUACUGGGUGUAAAGGGCGUGUAGGCGGGAGAGCAAGUCAGACGUGAAAUUCCAG
RNAcentral lists this ribosomal RNA (255 nucleotides) under uncultured bacterium. RNAcentral describes it as "partial 16S ribosomal RNA". It matches the Rfam family "Bacterial small subunit ribosomal RNA", at positions 335 to 605 of the family's 1533-position model. The record is from RNAcentral.